RNAcentral lists this ribosomal RNA (716 nucleotides) under Caulobacteraceae bacterium. Its description in RNAcentral is "bacterial SSU rRNA". It matches the Rfam family "Bacterial small subunit ribosomal RNA", at positions 90 to 842 of the family's 1533-position model. The record is from RNAcentral. Lineage: Bacteria; Pseudomonadati; Pseudomonadota; Alphaproteobacteria; Caulobacterales; Caulobacteraceae.
AGUUAGUGGCGGACGGGUGAGUAACACGUGGGAACGUGCCUUUAGGUUCGGAAUAACUCAGGGAAACUUGUGCUAAUACCGAAUGUGCCCUUCGGGGGAAAGAUUUAUCGCCUUUAGAGCGGCCCGCGUCUGAUUAGCUAGUUGGUGAGGUAAAGGCUCACCAAGGCGACGAUCAGUAGCUGGUCUGAGAGGAUGAUCAGCCACAUUGGGACUGAGACACGGCCCAAACUCCUACGGGAGGCAGCAGUGGGGAAUCUUGCGCAAUGGGCGAAAGCCUGACGCAGCCAUGCCGCGUGAAUGAUGAAGGUCUUAGGAUUGUAAAAUUCUUUCACCGGGGACGAUAAUGACGGUACCCGGAGAAGAAGCCCCGGCUAACUUCGUGCCAGCAGCCGCGGUAAUACGAAGGGGGCUAGCGUUGCUCGGAAUUACUGGGCGUAAAGGGAGCGUAGGCGGACAUUUAAGUCAGGGGUGAAAUCCCGGGGCUCAACCUCGGAAUUGCCUUUGAUACUGGGUGUCUUGAGUAUGAGAGAGGUGUGUGGAACUCCGAGUGUAGAGGUGAAAUUCGUAGAUAUUCGGAAGAACACCAGUGGCGAAGGCGACACACUGGCUCAUUACUGACGCUGAGGCUCGAAAGCGUGGGGAGCAAACAGGAUUAGAUACCCUGGUAGUCCACGCCGUAAACGAUGAUUGCUAGUUGUCGGGAUGCAUGCAUUUCG